This is a long non-coding RNA of Planococcus citri (citrus mealybug), 4794 nucleotides long. RefSeq lists it as uncharacterized. Lineage: Eukaryota; Metazoa; Arthropoda; Insecta; Hemiptera; Pseudococcidae. The transcript has 4 exons. The record is from RefSeq and is a predicted model, not a curated record.
ACUCGAUAUAAUAUCGCAUAAAUACACACUGCAGUUAUUCUCUACAUUUCUUUUCAAUUCGAUUAUGAGAUAUAGUUAAACGUAAGUAGUUGUCUACCUACACAUAUAUUCAAAUUUUUUUUAGUGAAAAGUGAAACAUUAUGUCGAAAGUUACAUUGAUCGUAUUCAGCGUUUUGUGCGUAUUGGCCAUGGCUUAUCAAGUCUACAGUUUGCCAUAUUGGAUGCCAUCCUAUGAUCCUGAUAGGUACACUACGUCGACUGAAAAGCAGACUUUGUAUGAUCGACGACCGUAUCAGAUCAUGAAACAGCAAAUGGGUGAUAAAUUGAAAAGGGAUUUGAUAAAUAGUAUACCUAAGUUUAGGUAUAAUAAGUAAUGUGGAUUGUAUUUGUCUUAGUAAUUAGUCAAGCCUAGUAUUGUUUACAUUUAAUUACUCAGAGUGAAAAGAUUAUUCUCUUAUAAAUAAUACCUAGGUACACAAUUUAACCAUAAUAUUAGGUAAUAAAAAUUUCAAGUCCAUAAUUAUUUAAUCGAGUAGGUAUUUAUAUAGGUAAUAAUGAAGUGCAUGAAAAAAAUUCAUUUGAUGAAAAUCUUCUCGAGUCUGUAGAACGCUUAUUGAUAGGUACUCAAUUUGAUAGCUUAUUGAAAUUAUUGACCUGUUCAAUGAUUUUUCCAUUUAUUACAAUCUUACUUCUUACUGGCUCCUUUCCUUUGAAGGCCAUUGUUUUUGUUUUCUCUGAUGAUAUUCUCAUAUCAUACUUUUCUAAUGUCUUUGUUAAAUUAUACAUUGAUCUCUGUAGGUCAUCUUCUGUUUCAGCUAGUACUGCUUGAUCAUCUGCGAAUAAUACUGUUGAUAUUUCUUACCUUCUGUCUGUCUUGAUUCCUUUUGGCUUCAUUUUCUGCCAUUCUUUUACCAUGUGAUCCAUAUACAUGUUGAAUAAAACACAAGACAGUGGACAUCCCUGGCGAACUCCUCUGUUUAUUUCUGCUUGUUCUGAGAGUUUAUUUCCAAUUCGUACUCUUAUUCUAGUGUUCUUAUAUAUGCUGUUUAUCACCUUUUGCAUUUUAUAUGUUAUCUCUUCAUCUUCUAGGACUUCAAACAGUUUUUUUCUAGUAACCCUAUCAUAUGCUUUUUCCAGGUCUAUGAAGCACAUGUGUGUUUCUAGGUUGUAUUCGAUCCUUUUUUCCAUCAGUAGUUUUACUGUAUAACUUGCGUCAGUGCAUGAUCUUCCUUUUCUAAAUCCGUUUUGACUUUCUGACAGCUUUUCUUCUGCAUGCUCUGCCAGUUGUUUUGUCAGUAUUUUCGCAUAUAUCUUGUAGCAGGUGUUGAGUAGACUUAAUCCUCGGUAGUUUUUCAGGUUUGACAUAUCGCCUUUCUUGAACAGUGGUAUUACAAUUGCUGUUUUGAAAUCUUCAGGUACCUUUUCUUCUUGGUACAUCCUAUUUAGGAAUUCCAGUAGUCUUCUUUUAAAUUCAACACUUGCAUAUUUGUACAAUUCUGUUGGUAUGCCAUCUUCUCCUGGAGCUUUUGCAUUUUUUGCCAUUUUCAAUGCUUCUUGUAGCUCUUUAAAUGAAAUUCUGUCCUCUGUUUCUCUGAUUUCAUCUUCUAUCUUUGUAGCUUGUGCAUUUUCAUCACCCCAGAGUUCUUCAAAAUAUUCCUUUGCAUCAUUGAUUUUAAUCUUUGGCAAACCCACUCUUGUUAAAAUUUGUGUCAAUUCUCCUUAUCAUCUUGUACACCUUUGGCCUUAAUUUGUAUGUGUCAUGCUCAAGGAAUGUGAUGAAAUUUUCCCAGCUCUCUCUCUCUGUAAUUUCCUGGACUUUCUCUUGACUUUUGCCGACUGUUUUCGAUAUUCUUCACCAUCAACCUCGCUUUUUGUGCUCAUGAAUUUUCUAAAUGCCUGUCUUUUCUUUUGUAUGAGUUCUUGGAUUUCGUUGUCCCAAUUCUUUAUUUCGUUUUGCCCCAAUUCUGCAAGGAACCAUUCCUAAGCUUUCUUUUGCCACUUUUGUCACAAUGGAUUUGAUAUUUUUCCAUUCUUCUUCUAUGUCCUGGCUUGUUGGUAUCUCUUGACUAAUGAUGUUCAUCCGUCUUUGGUACAGCUCUUGGUUGGUUGGGUCAUCCAGGGCUCUUGUGUUGAUCUUCUUUUCAUUUUUCCUGGCUGGUAUUCUUGUUGUUUCCAUUCUCAUUACUCCUUGAACAAAAAGAUGGUCAGUGCCUAUUUCUAGACCUCUGUAUGUUCUUAUAUCCAAGAAUUUCUUUGCGGCAUUUUCAUUGGCUAUAAAAUGGACGAUCAUUGAGCUUUGUCCUCUUGUAUUGCUCCAUGUCAUCUUGUGAUCUUCCUUGUGUUGGUAGAAUGUAUUCAUGAUUCUUAGUCCUUGAAAGUGCAAAAAUCUAUCAGUCUCUUCCCAUUUGUAUUCAUUCCUUCUGUUCCAUACAUACCAGUUACUGUCUUUACUUGCUUAUCUCCUACCUGAGCAUUCAAGUCUCCUGCUAUUACCAAUUUAUCUUCUGGAUUUACUGCUUCUGCUGCCCUCUGUAGUUGCUUGUAGAACUCUUAGCUUUGUUCCUCUCUUCCCUCUUUGGGUGCAUAUACUCCAAUUAUUGUAAGAAAGUCUUUUUUCAAUCUCAUCCUUGCUGAUACAAUUCUUUCAUGCCAUAUGUUGUAUGAGUCGAUGUUUUUGCGGUGUUUAUUAUGUAUGUGUAACAUCACUCCGCCUGCAGCUCUGGUUUUCUUGUCGACUCCACUGUAGAUAACAAUGUAAUUUCCAGAUUCAAUUGUUCCACUUCCUUUCUUCUUUGUUUCAGACAUCACAGCAAAGUCUAUAUUUCUGCUGCUUGGAAUUCCGUUUAUUUCUGCUUCCUUGGCUGCAUAUCCUCUUACAUUCCAUUUUCCGAAUUUGCAUUUUCCUUUCGUUAGCGUGUGUUUUUAUUUUAACCAGGGGUUCAUCUCCGCCUGGGAUCCCAUAGUUCCAUCCGUUUUCUGUUGUUUGUGAGUUUUGAGUAAGGUUGAUUUUUGUCUGACUUGGUUACCAGCCAUGCCAGACAUAUCACGGUGAUAGGGCUGCUAUCUAGGCCUCCGCGCUUGCCUGGUCCUCUUUUAGUCGUCUUUUACAACAGGCAGAGGGUACCAUAAGGAUAUUCUUGACCCAUCCCUACACAGGGGUGCCAAUACCUAUUGUUCAUAAAACCACAAUAAAUCAUUGUAAAACAAGUUUAAUCACAAUACAAUGUGUUUGAAGUUAAUUUGACUUUCUUAUUUACAUAAAUAUCCGAUGCCUCAUGUAUUUACGACAGCCUUACAGUGAUAUUAAACCCUGUUUGUCCCACUUAUGACGGUGGUAUAAGGCCCGAGGGUAUAGCCUCCCCCUCAGGAUCCGACAUAAGUCCACAUAUCAUUUUAUUAUCUAGGGUAAGCCCCCCAACACACCGAGGGGACUUGAUAAGAUAGUAAAUGUAGAUAGAUUAUUUUCUAGCUUGAUUACCAUAGAUACUUCCCUGAGAGCACUAGGUACACUCAACCUAGACUAGACUUAUAUAUUUAACCAUCAAUAGACCUAUCUGUAGUAAAAUCUCCCUAUAAUACACAUUAAACAAAAUCCAAUCAAUUCGAAAUGUGUUAAUUUUCACUGAUUAUGAUUAAUUAUGAUUACGCUUAUAAAUCCUAGGAAUUUUCUAACUCGAUAUAAUAUCGCAUAAAUACACUGUGCAGUUAUAUAUUCUCUACAUUUCUUUUCAAUUCGGUAAUGAGAUAUAGUUAAACGUAGGAAUCUAACCUACCCAUAUAUUCAAUUUUUUUUAGUGAAAAGUGAAACAUUAUGUCGAAAAUUACAUUGAUCGUAGUCUGCGUUUUGUGCGUAUUGGCCAUGGCUGAUCAAGUCUACAGUUUCCCAUACUACGAGAAGUUCACUACGGAGACUGAAAAGCCGACUUUGUGGGCUCAAUCACGACAGUUUCAGGCCAGGAAACAGCUGUUGGAUGCCCAAAUAAAAAGCUUUCAGAUAAAUACUUUACUUAAGAUUAUGAAUAAAAAGUAAUGUGGAUUGUAUUCGCUUAUAAAUAAUUCUGUCGGGAUAUUAUGGCAUUUUAAAUACCUAUGUACACAAUUAUAUAGCCAUAACAUUAAGGUAAUAAUGAAGUACACGAAACAAAAAAAAAGCAAAUCCACACAAAUAAAAUUAGAAAACUUUAGGUGGUGAAUUUCAUUCGAUAAAAAUCUUCUCGAGUCUGUAGAACGUUUAGAUAGGUACUCGAUUUGAUAGCUUAUACGAGUAGGUACGUAUAAAUGUAACAUGAAUUAUCGAUGAAAACUUCAUUCGAGCGUAAUAAAAUCUCUCAAAUUGAUUAGCAACUUGAUAAAACAUUUAAACAAGCCAUAAAUACCCGUAUAAAUAACACGAGUACCUACCUAGAUAUUUUCUUUUCAAUUGAAAAAUAUACAUAUACGCAGGUGGUAAAUCUUCACAGCAACACAGCAGAAUCAUGAAGAAAAAAAUUAUGAUUGCCUUUUUCUACAUUCUGUACCUCUCAGUCACGAUUUUUCAAUUCAGUAUGUAUUAGUUUCUCACCACAAUAUGAACCUCCCUUGGAAAGCCUACCAACACUGAUCCUGUACCACAAACUUAAUGCCUUCAACAGCAGCCAACAAAAAUAUGGUUUAGAACUAGUUUGUAAGUAGGUACCUAAAAAAUGAAUUAAAUUAAUUUUUUUACUUGUCAAUAAUGAAUGUUUUUAAAUCGAUUAUCCAUCACUAUAACACUAUGAAAGUUCAAUAAUAUAAAUACAAAGUUCGAAAUAAUCA